Long non-coding RNA from Homo sapiens (human), 1402 nucleotides. Ensembl annotates it as long intergenic non-protein coding RNA 1837. Lineage: Eukaryota; Metazoa; Chordata; Mammalia; Primates; Hominidae. The record is from Ensembl.
GGGAAACAUGGAACAGUCGGAAGAAUGAUGGGCAAAGAUGGAGCUGGCAUUAAAUUUUCAAUGGAAGCAGUAUUGGCUUUGACUUUUCAGAAGGCUUAUCUGUUAGAUGGUGUUUGUCACUGGGCCGCGGAGCUGUGGAUGUUCGUCAGUUGGAAGUUGCAGGCAGUUGAACGAUAUGGACAGGUAAUGUCAUUGCAUGUACACAGUUUAAGACAGAGCAUCUGGUGAUUCUCGGACCUUCAAGCAAGUGUCACAUCUCAGGUGAACCUUGGCAGUUUUAAGAUGAACAAAGUAAUCAAAGCAAAAAUGUCAAAUAAUAAUAAUAAUAAUGAUAUCAGAAGAAUGUCCAGUGCCAUGGUUGGAUUCCCAGAAGGCAGCAUCUGCUCAUGCCAUCAACAACAUGGUGCCAUUUCAGUCAUCCUCUUUUUGUCCCAAAGACAGAAAAAAAAUAGAAAAAAGAAAGAGAAAAAGACACCACGAACCGUCUAUCCUCCUGGUAAUACAAAUACACCUGUAAAUAAACAUGUCAAUGUCUACACACAACGCACAUUUAUGCAGAAUCCAUCCUCUCGGUGCUUCCGUAGUUAUCAAGUAAAAGUCCUUCUAAGCCUAAGAAAUGAUAGUAUUAAUUCAGUCUUGGGGUGUGGGGGGAAAGGUGGACUAUCAUCAAAUAAAAAAGGCGAGGCUAAUUAAGUGACAUCCACUGGGGACUGGGAAAAGAAGAGACUUCUUGUGGGAAAGUAAUUAUAUCUUCAUUGACCCUCCUGGGGUACCCCCAGUGGCAGGGACUCUGCCUCGCGGUGUGACAUCUCCUUUCGGGAUGAGCAGCCAGUCACCUCGAGAAGCCCCCUUCUCCAUGGAUGCGUUUUCUAAUCAUUUCACAUGAUUGAGCCUCCAGCAAGUGAUGCUUUACUUAAUUCCUUUCCGCCUGUAGGGUGUGAGGUUUGGAGGGCCUCUCGUCAAAACUUUGGAGGGCUCUGUCAGUUUGAAAAGAACAUGACCUUUAAAUUGUAUCAGUAUGUUUGCUGGUGCAUAAGGGAGAGGAAAAGGUUCGUCCUGAUGGAAAACCACUCAGAAGCCAAGGAGUAAUUCAGAGGGAACCAGCCCAGGAAGAAUCAAGAAAGCUGCCCACAGUGUCAUUCUUCAGCUGAGAAAAGAGAGAGUUGACUAACUCCUCGGACUGGAGUGAGGACUCACAGAGGUGGUAGGACACUAACCAUCUAUGUCUCCAUUUCCUGGGUUGUAACACUGAGGUAGAACAUCUCACUGUCCCAUGGAGGAUUAUGUUAUUUUUGGAGAUUAAUAAUUUUGGAGGAAGAAAGGUGGCUUCCUGAAAAGGAAGUCACAUGAAGAAGCAACUUACACGGUGGUCUCUUUAAAUAAACAUAUUGUGACUAGACAA